GGUCGCCUCGCUCGCUUCUGCUGACCACCGCCACCUCCACCCCCGUCGACGCCGUGGCGGACGCGGUGAGUCCCAAGCCGCGGGACACUGGGCGUGGCCACCCCGUCGGAGCGACAGGAAGAGCAGGGCCGCGGGAGCCGUCGACAGCUCUGGCCCGCCCCCAAGCUGACCUCCGCCCCCAGGCGAGCUCCGGUUCCGCCGCCCCGUAAUCCGCUCGAGUCGCGCCUAACGCCAUGGUUUAUUGCAGGUGGAGGUGGAGUACGUGCCGGAGAUGCCCGACCUCGGCGCCGACGACCCCCUCCCCCUCGACGCCUUCGCGGCGGCCCCCGCCCCCAGGCGAGCUCCGGUUCCUCCGCCCCGUAAUCUGCUCGAGCCGCGCGCCUAAGGCCAUGGCGGCGAGAGCAUGGGCGGUCGCGGUGGUGACGACUAGCUCGAAGAGGAGGAGUCCGCCACUAUGAGGACCUUGUUCAACAACACUACUCGGGCCUCCAGUAAUGGCAGGUUGGGGAUAUCUGAGAUGUGUCCUCUCCGCCUCCAGUAAAGAUUUUGUGUGAUUGUUUGUUUUGCAAUAUAUUAGGCAGUGUUAUUUCUUCAUGUUAUUAGCUGCCCAUUUGAGACAUGAACAAAAGAACGACGGCGAUGCACAACCCUACACAGCGCCACUCGUUGUCAUCUUGUCGGUCAAGUAGGCGCAUCGGCGGCUGCUGCACGCCUCCACCAUGGAAUCAAAUGGGAAUUCUACUAUACAGGAUUAUAACAGGGGGAAAGGAUAAGGGAGAAGGGGACUCUAUGAAGAAAGAACAAGAAGGUGUCCCUGAAAAAUAAGCAGCUGGAGAACAACAAGUUUAUUGUUGACUUUCUAGAGAAAAUGUCGUAACAACUGAGAAAAUUGCUGGUGAGAACAUCACACAUGUUCUUAUAGUUUUUAAAUGAAAAACUUUUAUGUUUAUCUCUUUUUUACUAGAAUAGUAGAUAAUGGGGCAUAGACAUUUGAGAAGGCUUAGUGCAAUUAAUCCCUUUAUCUUGCAGUACUUUACACAUGGGUUCCAUUAUCAGAAUAGGAGGGCCUAGCAGUACAAAAUCAAGGCUCUGUACUAUAUUGUUGGACAAAGAUGAGUUUGUCAAUAAUUUGGCAAUGUGGUGUCGAGGUCUUUGCCCAUGAGGUUACACCUUCAAGGGUGACAUUGAAGAAGCAUUCAAAUGCAUAGAUAUAAGAGAAGAUCAACUUGCACGUACAAGUUGUGUUGCAGACGACGGGGCCAUGCGGUUGAAUGUGUCUGGUCAAGUUGACCAAGAAGCAUGAUAUCAUUAACAAGAUGUUCACAAAAUUUCUUCAAAGUUUAUUUGAUGGUGUGGCAUAUUUUUUUCUGGUUAAGUUUUCUGUAUAUUUCUAUAUUUAUUUGUACAAACUGGAAGCUACAGAUGAACUUCAUAUAUACUCUGCCAACUUCGUUCAAUAAGAUCAAAGUAUGCAAUA
Non-coding RNA from Aegilops tauschii subsp. strangulata, 1477 nucleotides. The record is from RefSeq and is a predicted model, not a curated record. Lineage: Eukaryota; Viridiplantae; Streptophyta; Magnoliopsida; Poales; Poaceae.